AUCCUUUCGGAGUUCAUAAGCGUGAUGAUUGGGUGUUCACGUUGGUGUGUGAGAUGUGCCGCCCACUAACCUUGUUACGCUCUGGCACAUGACCCGUCUGACA
Molecule: small nucleolar RNA, 103 nt
Organism: Myotis daubentonii (Daubenton's bat)
Lineage: Eukaryota; Metazoa; Chordata; Mammalia; Chiroptera; Vespertilionidae
Product: small nucleolar RNA U13
Source: RefSeq, a predicted model, not a curated record